UGGGGAAUAUUGCACAAUGGGGGAAACCCUGAUGCAGCGACGCCGCGUGAACGAAGAAGGUAUUCGUAUCGUAAAGUUCUGUCCUAUGGGAAGAUAAUGACAGUACCAUAGAAGAAAGCUCCGGCUAAAUACGUGCCAGCAGCCGCGGUAAUACGUAUGGAGCGAGCGUUGUCCGGAAUUAUUGGGCGUAAAGGGUACGCAGGCGGUUUAAUAAGUCGAAUGUUAAAGAUCGGGGCUCAACCCCGUAAAGCAUUGGAAACUGAUAAACUUGAGUAGUGGAGAGGAAAGUGGAAUUCCUAGUGUAGUGGUGAAAUACGUAGAUAUUAGGAGGAACACCGGUGGCGAAAGCGGCUCUCUGGUCUGUAACUGACGCUGAGGCUCGAAAGCGUGGGGAGCGAACAGG
RNAcentral lists this ribosomal RNA (403 nucleotides) under Bacteroidota bacterium. Its description in RNAcentral is "Bacteroidetes bacterium partial 16S ribosomal RNA". It matches the Rfam family "Bacterial small subunit ribosomal RNA", at positions 355 to 776 of the family's 1533-position model. Lineage: Bacteria; Pseudomonadati; Bacteroidota. The record is from RNAcentral.